AAAUCAUAUUGGUAAUUAUAAAGCAGUAUAUCCAUACUGUACAAUAGAUAUAUUGACAUAGCUUACUUUUGUGUUGUGUAUCCCCUGACUACUUAAUGGACUAGGCCAGUUUGUACUUUGGUGUAGGUAAAAUGUAUUAAACAAGAUGUUUGACAGGGGGAGUGUUUUAAACUUUAUGUCAUAUACCAUGUUGACAUUAAUGUGAUAUUAUAAAGGACACAUUCACAUUCAAUGAACU
Molecule: long non-coding RNA, 238 nt
Filed under: Mytilus galloprovincialis (Mediterranean mussel)
Lineage: Eukaryota; Metazoa; Mollusca; Bivalvia; Mytilida; Mytilidae
Source: RNAcentral